This 789-nucleotide long non-coding RNA is filed under the name Vigna radiata. RNAcentral describes it as "long non-coding RNA (VRAD_LNC006927)". The record is from RNAcentral. Lineage: Eukaryota; Viridiplantae; Streptophyta; Magnoliopsida; Fabales; Fabaceae.
GAGAGAAUAAAAACACUUAUAACUUAACUUUGAAAGGUUAAGGAAAUAUACGCGAGAUCAUCUAGUACCAGGAGUGGUGUGAAUGCUCAACUAAUCUAGGGUAACUGGAGUUUAUUCGCUAAUCAGGUAUACUGGGAGUGGUGAAGAAUAUUUCACAACCAAGAGUGGGUGAAACUCAACUAGGCGAUACCGUGGAUACCAGGUUGCCUAAGGAUACCAGGAGUGGUGCGAAUACUCAAGGAAAUCAUGGCGGGUUGCUAAGUACCAUGAGUGGUGCGAAUAGUUAAGGAAAUCUUAGUGAGAUGUUUAGUACCAGUAGUGGUGCGAAUACUCAAGGAAAUCUCGACGGGUUGUUAAGUACCAAGAGUGGUGCGAAUAAUCAAGGAAAUCUUGGUGGGUUACUGAGUACCAGGAGUGGUAGGAUUACUCAAUUGAUAUAGGGUAACUGGAGGUUACUCGCUAACUAGGGAAACCAGGAGUGGUGAAUAAUACAAAGCAAUCAAGAGUGGGGGAAACUAAACUAGACAGGUUUCUCAAAUGUACUGAGAACGUCUUGGGAUACUAGGAGUGGUGAAUAAUAUUACGCAACCAAAAGUGGGAAAAAAUAAACUAAAUGGGUUUCUCAAAUGUAUUAAGAGUGUCUAGGGAUACCAGAAGUUAUGAAUAAUACCAUGCAAUCAGGAGUAAGUUAAACUCAAUUGCACUUUGUAAGAUUCGAUUAAAAAAAAAUACUUUUUUAUUUUAUUUUUAUAACUUCUAAUAUUAAAUACUUAAUUAUGUAUGGUAUUU